This 460-nucleotide ribosomal RNA is filed under the name uncultured bacterium. RNAcentral describes it as "partial 16S ribosomal RNA". It matches the Rfam family "Bacterial small subunit ribosomal RNA", at positions 338 to 795 of the family's 1533-position model. The record is from RNAcentral.
CCUACGGGAGGCAGCAGUGAGGAAUAUUGGUCAAUGGGCGCGAGCCUGAACCAGCCAAGUAGCGUGAAGGAUGACUGCCCUACGGGUUGUAAACUUCUUUUAUAAAGGAAUAAAGUGAGGCACGUGUGCCGUUUUGUAUGUACUUUAUGAAUAAGGAUCGGCUAACUCCGGGCCAGCAGCCGCGGUAAUACGGAGGAUCCGAGCGUUAUCCGGAUUCAUUGGGUGUAAAGGGAGCGUAGAUGGGUUGUUAAGUCAGUUGUGAAAGUGUGCGGCUCAAACGUAAAAUUGCAGUUGAUACUGGCAGUCUUGAGUACAGGUGGGGUAGGCGGAAUUCGUGGUGUAGCGGUGAAAUGCUUAGAUAUCACGAAGAACUCCGAUUGCGAAGGCAGCUUACUAAACUGCCACUGACAUUGAUGCUCGAAAGUGUGGGUAUCAAACAGGAUUAGAUACCCCAGUAGUC